GACAGAGGCCUCGAGCGUUAGGCGGAAUCACUGGGCUUAAAGCGCGUGUAGGCGGAUCGUUAAGUGCCUUGUGAAAUCCUGCGGCUCAACCGCAGAACUGCUGGGCAUACUGGCGAUCUUGGGCCACUCAGGGGUCACUGGAACAAGCGGUGGAGCGGUGAAAUGCGUAGAUAUCAUUUGGAACGCCAAUGGUGAAAACAGGUUGCUGGGAGUGUGCUGACACUGAGACACGAAAGCCAGGGGAGCAAACGGG
This 253-nucleotide ribosomal RNA is filed under the name uncultured bacterium. RNAcentral describes it as "partial 16S ribosomal RNA". It matches the Rfam family "Bacterial small subunit ribosomal RNA", at positions 524 to 776 of the family's 1533-position model. The record is from RNAcentral.